GAUGAACGCUGGCGGCGUGCCUAAUACAUGCAAGUCGAGCGGACGGACGAUAAGCUUGCGUCUCUGAUGUUAGCGGCGGACGGGUGAGUAACACGUGGAUAACCUACCUAUAAUUCGGGGAUAACUUCGUAAAACCGGAUCUAAUACCAGAGGAUAUUUUGAACCGCAUGGUUCAAAAGUGAAAGACGGUCUUGCUGUCACUUAUAGAUGGAUCCGCGCUGCAUUAGCUAGUUGGUAAGGUAACGGCUUACCAAGGCGACGAUGCAUAGCCGACCUGAGAGGGUGAUCGGCCACACUGGAACUGAGACACGGUCCAGACUCCUACGGGAGGCAGCAGUAGGGAAUCUGCGGCAAUGGGCGAAAGCCUGACGGAGCAACGCCGCGUGAGUGAUGAAGGCCUUCGGAUCGUAAAACUCUGUUAUUAGGGAAGAACAGCUGUGUAAGUAAAUGUGCACAUCUUGACGGUACCUAAUCAGAAAGCAACGGCUAACUACGUG
RNAcentral lists this ribosomal RNA (497 nucleotides) under uncultured bacterium. Its description in RNAcentral is "partial 16S ribosomal RNA". It matches the Rfam family "Bacterial small subunit ribosomal RNA", at positions 28 to 507 of the family's 1533-position model. The record is from RNAcentral.